GUGGCGAACGGGUGAGUAACACGUGGGUGAUCUGCCCUCCACUUUGGGAUAAGCCUGGGAAACUGGGUCUAAUACCCCAUAUAACACCUGGUUGCAUG
This 98-nucleotide ribosomal RNA is filed under the name uncultured Mycobacterium sp. RNAcentral's name for it is "partial 16S ribosomal RNA". The record is from RNAcentral. Lineage: Bacteria; Bacillati; Actinomycetota; Actinomycetes; Mycobacteriales; Mycobacteriaceae.